RNAcentral lists this ribosomal RNA (395 nucleotides) under uncultured bacterium. RNAcentral describes it as "partial 16S ribosomal RNA". It matches the Rfam family "Bacterial small subunit ribosomal RNA", at positions 523 to 918 of the family's 1533-position model. The record is from RNAcentral.
AUACGUAGGGUGCAAGCGUUAAUCGGAAUUACUGGGCGUAAAGCGUGCGCAGGCGGUUUUGUAAGACAGAGGGGAAAUCCCCGGGCUCAACCUGGGAACUGCCUUUGUGACUGCAAGGCUAGAGUACGGCAGAGGGGGGUGGAAUUCCGAGUGUAGCAGUGAAAUGCCUAGGUAUGCGGAGGAACACCGAUGGCGAAGGCAAUCCCCUGAGCCUGGACUGACGCUCAUACACGAAAGCGUGGGGAGCAAUCAGGAUAAGAUACCCUGGUAGUCCACGCCCUAAACGAUGUCAACUGGUUGUUGGGUCUUCAGUGACUCAGUAACGAAGCUAACGCGUUAAGUUGACCGCCUGGGGAGUACGGUCGCAAGGUUGAAACUCAAAUGAAUUGACGGGG